This is an RNA transcript of Vespa velutina, 780 nucleotides long. It is a transcript of the gene named omega-conotoxin-like protein 1, with no coding region annotated. The transcript is spliced from 4 exons. The record is from RefSeq and is a predicted model, not a curated record. Lineage: Eukaryota; Metazoa; Arthropoda; Insecta; Hymenoptera; Vespidae.
AGUAUUAUUUUUUAUAAACGAUAACAGAAGUAAGAUAACAGGGUCAUUUUUCAUUGAAACGACCCAUGAGCCUAAACUCGCUCGUAAAUGACUCAUAUAUGUUUCGAAGAAGCCAUCGAGAUUCAUAAAGUCACCGUUUCUCCUACUUCUAUACUUUGUGUAUACAUAUAUGUAUACACACUUCGUAUAUAGUUUGAACAGAACGAACGAAGGAAGGUAGUCGAGGUCGAACUCUCGAGAAGAUAUCUUAGCGACGGAAUCUGUGCGUAGUUUAUAUUUCGUUAGCGAAUAAUAAGCCCAUUUAAUUCCAAGAAACAACGAAGAUGUCGAAGUUCAUGCUGCUCGUUUUUGUAACUCUUCUUGCUAGCACACUUAUCGUGGCUGCUCCCGAUAACUCACGCUGCGGUCGGCACGGUGACCCCUGUGUGGUUGAUCGUGAAUGCUGUCAAAGCAUAAGAUGCAACGCACAGGCGCAUAGAUGCCAAGUCAUUAUCACCGCCGAGGAAUUAAUGGCUCAGAGAGAACGAAUUUUGGGCAAGAAAGGAAAAUCUUACUGAUCAACUAUUAUCUCUUUCUUGAUCGUACAAUCAUGGCAAUAAAUAAGAUAAAUAAUUUUUCAUUUAUAUAAAGAUAAUCAUUGAAAUUAUAUGGAGUUAUGGCAUAAUGAAAAUGUCAUCUUUAAUUAUAAUUAAAAAAAAAAAAAAAGUCAUCUUUAAUUAUAACAAAAUGAAAAUAUUUAGAAUGUAUAAAUUGAAUAAUAAAUAUUAUAAAUCGUAAGUA